ACGCUCUUAGUUCAGUGGUAGAACGCUGGUUUCCAAAACCAGAUGUCGUAGGUUCAAGUCCUACAGGGCGU
This 71-nucleotide transfer RNA is filed under the name Microspora sp. UTEX LB472. RNAcentral's name for it is "tRNA-Trp". It matches the Rfam family "tRNA". From Rfam's summary of the family: Transfer RNA (tRNA) molecules are approximately 80 nucleotides in length. Lineage: Eukaryota; Viridiplantae; Chlorophyta; Chlorophyceae; Microsporaceae. The record is from RNAcentral.